GUCCCCAUAGUCUAACGGUUAGGACGCGGCCCUUUCAAGGCUGAGACACGGGUUCGAUUCCCGUUGGGGGCACCA
This 75-nucleotide transfer RNA is filed under the name Eggerthellaceae bacterium. Its description in RNAcentral is "tRNA-Glu". It matches the Rfam family "tRNA". From Rfam's summary of the family: Transfer RNA (tRNA) molecules are approximately 80 nucleotides in length. Their secondary structure includes four short double-helical elements and three loops (D, anti-codon, and T loops). The record is from RNAcentral. RNAcentral also lists the same sequence under 2 other names. Lineage: Bacteria; Bacillati; Actinomycetota; Coriobacteriia; Eggerthellales; Eggerthellaceae.